CAUGAAGCGCGGUAAGCUGAUCUCGUACCGGGAGCCCAGGCGUUAUCGAGGAGCAGGAGAGUUGAUCGCGGAACGUUCGGGACAGUCCAGGUUCCCCUGAAAGGAGCCACGCCACCAGCGGCAAUUGCUGUUGUAGCACCAGACCGUGAGAGUUCCCGUCCGGAUCCAGAAGGAGAUCCUGGAAGCUCGGAAUCACCCGGGGGUAGUCUAUUGACAACUCCAACAGACGUGGGAACCAUGGUCGGGAUCUCCACAGAGGAGUGAUCAAAGUCAGGCAACAAUCGUGACGAACCAACUUCGAGAGCGUUCGGGUGAUCAUGUUGAAUGGUGGAAAUGCAUAAAGGCAGCCCGGUGGCCAUUCCUGGAGAAAGGCGUCCGUCGCCACUGCCGCCGGGUCCGGCCUCCAACUGUAAAAUUUUGGUAGUUGGGUGUUCAUACGGGACGCGAACAGAUCCAUCCUGAACCGGCCCCAUAGUCUGUCUAGGCUUUGGAAUACCG
Non-coding RNA from Pelobates cultripes (western spadefoot toad), 498 nucleotides. Lineage: Eukaryota; Metazoa; Chordata; Amphibia; Anura; Pelobatidae. The record is from the annotation of a GenBank genome assembly.